GACUCUGACUCUGUGCCCCCACUGUACCCCUCCUUUUAGGUGAACACAAAGGGAGGGAGGGAGGAAGUACAGCCAGACACUUUCUGGAAGGAUCUGGAGAACUUCUAACCGCAGAGGAAGAUGUGACGUCACAGGACAGAACGCUGCGGCUUGGUGUUAUCCUCAUUCCUGAAGCAAAUUCCUCAUCCUCUCGUACUUCCCUCUGCCCACACCUCCGGCUGACACCAUUCCCCAUCGGGAUGCUUCUCCAUCAGGGCUUUUUCCAGAAGUGUAUGAUCUCCCGGUGCUGGGUCUCCACAUCCAGAGCAACCUGGAACUGCAGACUCCACCCUGGGGUCCCAGGGGCACUGAAGUCCAGCUGCCUCCAGCUCAAGGACAUUCCUUUAAGGCCCUUCUGCGACCCGCUGUGCCUCCUGCACUUGAGGUAGGACGGAAGCCUGGGACAACACCUUGAUACCUGCUCCCGGAUGUCCUCUCCGACCUCCACCCAGGCCACCUUAAUUCCUUCUCUCCUUUCUGUUGAACAUCUGGUGCCAACAUCUGGGCAGUGAACCCGCCCCAUCCCAUUUCCCAGUGCAUCUGUGAGCCUGCUCCCCACCUCCCCUCUGAGAUGUCUGCAGACCAACAGCCUGCUCGGCACUCAGGGGCCUGGCAGUGCAGGGCCCCUCAUUAUCACUGCAGUUGUCAUCACUACCAACAGGCACAGGAGCCCCCGAGAUUUCUGUUCUGACAUUUUUGCAUUUCUAAAAGGCAAUAUGGAGCUGUAAAACAAAACAAUGAGAGUUAAGAGAGGUAGGUUCUUAAAUAUCACCUGUAGGCUCAAUAAAGGAGCGGUUACAUGAAUAAUGACACAUUCACUACUCUAAAAUCAUUUAUGAUUUUAAGGUGUUUUAUUAUAGUAAUAAUUUUGCUGAGUACUUAGCAUAUAACACAUACCGGGCUAGAAGCUUUCUCAUAAAUUUAACUCAUUUAAUCCCCGCGAGAACCUCAUAAUGUAGGUGCAGGUAUUGGAAUUACUUUCAAUUGUUAUCACUACAAUUCCCAUUUUACAAAUGAGAAAAUUGAGUCUUUUAUAAGAUCAUCAACUAAGGCUUCUAACGUAAUGUUGAGGUGAAGA
Molecule: long non-coding RNA, 1117 nt
Filed under: Fukomys damarensis (Damara mole-rat)
Lineage: Eukaryota; Metazoa; Chordata; Mammalia; Rodentia; Bathyergidae
Description: lncRNA (ENSFDAG00000031146.1)
Source: RNAcentral